UCAUCAUUUUCCCCGACAUUUUAGCUAGGUAACUAUAUGUUACUUCUCUUCUUAAUCGAUCUUGAUUAAUACCCACUUCGAAUACUCCCAAGAAGUGGACUAUUUAUGGUAUCCUUUGGGGAUUGGAGGUGAUCAUGUGCUUGAUGAGAUGCUAUAUAGAUCAACAAUGAGAAAAAUGUCUUAAGAGAAUCCAAGAAGAUGAUGAGGUCAACCGGCAUAGCGGUUUUUCAAAAACCUAGCAUUAGGAGGUUGCAUUUGCAUGUGCUUGUACUGCUAUGCAAUCCCAUUGGAUGCUUUUAUUAUU
This 304-nucleotide unclassified non-coding RNA is filed under the name Hevea brasiliensis (rubber tree). The record is from RNAcentral. Lineage: Eukaryota; Viridiplantae; Streptophyta; Magnoliopsida; Malpighiales; Euphorbiaceae.